RNAcentral lists this long non-coding RNA (627 nucleotides) under Panax ginseng (ginseng). Its description in RNAcentral is "long non-coding RNA (PGIN_LNC009124)". The record is from RNAcentral. Lineage: Eukaryota; Viridiplantae; Streptophyta; Magnoliopsida; Apiales; Araliaceae.
UUCCGGUCCAAAUGAAGGGCGCCGAGGUUGGGGAGGAGAGAGAGUGACGGAGGGAUUGAACCGGUGAGCUGGUUGAACGAUAAGUCGAGGUACGUUAAGUUUUUGAGCUGGCUAAAGAACGUCGGAACUGGACCGGUGAGAUUGGUCCAGCUCAGUCUCACCAUUUUGAGGUUGGAGAGUUUGGCAAUGGCAGACGGGAUUUGUCCGGUGACAUUAGUGAGAUGCCGAAAGAUUAGGGUUUCUAAAUAAGGGAGGUCUCCGACUGCUGCCGGAAUCUGGCCGGAGAUGUUACCAGAGAAGAUGGUCAGGGCAUUUACGCGGUUUGUUUUGAGGUCACACUCCAGGCAGUACCAAUCACAGCAGUCAUUGUCCGGGUUCCAUGAGGCUAAAUGGUAAGGGUUGUUCAGGGAUUUUUUGAUUUGUAGGAGGACUUUUUUGUCCUUUGGGUUGCAGCGAUCGGAGAGAGUAGGAGACGGCAGGGAGAGAACGGAAAUAAGAAAGAGGCAGAGUAUGGAAAUCAGCGAGUUGUUCGUCAUGUUGAAUUGGUAGCAACUAAGAAAUUGAGUUCCAUGUAUAUAUAUAUAAAAAUAAUUUCUCCGACGAACCAAAAAAGACAAACCCAGAUCC